GAGUUUGAUCCUGGCUCAGGACGAACGCUGGCGGCGUGCUUAACACAUGCAAGUCGAACGGAAAGGCCCUUCGGGGUACUCGAGUGGCGAACGGGUGAGUAACACGUGGGUGAUCUGCCCCGCACUUUGGGAUAAGCCUGGGAAACUGGGUCUAAUACCGAAUAUGACCACGCUCUUCAUGGGGUGUGGUGGAAAGCUUUUGCGGUGUGGGAUGGGCCCGCGGCCUAUCAGCUUGUUGGUGGGGUAAUGGCCUACCAAGGCGACGACGGGUAGCCGGCCUGAGAGGGUGACCGGCCACACUGGGACUGAGAUACGGCCCAGACUUCUACGGGAGGCAGCAGUGGGGAAUAUUGCACAAUGGGCGCAAGCCUGAUGCAGCGACGCCGCGUGAGGGAUGACGGCCUUCGGGUUGUAAACCUCUUUCACCAGGGACGAAGCGCAAGUGACGGUACCUGGAGAAGAAGCACCGGCCAACUACGUGCCAGCAGCCGCGGUAAUACGUAGGGUGCGAGCGUUGUCCGGAAUUACUGGGCGUAAAGAGCUCGUAGGUGGUUUGUCGCGUUGUUCGUGAAAACUCACAGCUUAACUGUGGGCGUGCGGGCGAUACGGGCAGACUAGAGUACUGCAGGGGAGACUGGAAUUCCUGGUGUAGCGGUGGAAUGCACAGAUAUCAGGAGGAACACCGGUGGCGAAGGCGGGUCUCUGGGCAGUAACUGACGCUGAGGAGCGAAAGCGUGGGGAGCGAACAGGAUUAGAUACCCUGGUAGUC
RNAcentral lists this ribosomal RNA (769 nucleotides) under uncultured bacterium. RNAcentral describes it as "bacterial SSU rRNA". It matches the Rfam family "Bacterial small subunit ribosomal RNA", at positions 9 to 795 of the family's 1533-position model. The record is from RNAcentral.